CAAAUCUCCACGCCUGGACACUGGUUGUUUCUUAAUUGACAAAGUCUUUGGUGGGCUCUGUGCGUACCCUCCCAUCAUUCCAGCAUGAGAAGGCAGAAGAAAGGCAUCCGGACAACUUUCUCCUGCAGCAAAAGGUAAGGCACCUUGGCUUCAUUCUGAUUUCUAACAAUGUGCACACCCAGACCAAGGCCCAGCCAGAAGGAGAAGCUGUGUCCAGUGUGUGGACCAGAAAAUGGGAAUCCCUCCAUCCAAGUCCCUCAGACCCUCGUCAUCUCCCUGCCUGUAUAUCGCCAAAUGCUGCACACAGCUGUCCCCCAUGGAUACCCUGCACCAAGCCAGGGUUCCAGAACCUAAGGAAUAGCUCUCUGAGAACCUCCCAUGGGGCUCCUGGGAUGUCUGCUGGCUGUGGUGGCUCAACAGUGUGCAUCCCACAGAAGACGUCAGAGAAGGGGAGGAGGAGCAGAGAAGCCGGCAGGUGGCAGGAAGAAGGAAGGAUCAUGGCGAGAGGAAACCAAACAUACCAGGAAAAAAAGUAGAAAAGCCUAAGUAAGUACAAGAAAACUUUUUUUGUCUCUCUAUUUUUGGCCAAGUGAAAAAAUAAAAAAUAAAAACCAAGAGACUCAGACAGAGCCCGUGAAGGGAAGGAACCAACUGACAAACUGCAGAACUGUGAAAUGCAUGCUAAUUACCUCACCCUUCCUCCUGCGCUGGGCUGCAACCAGAGCCCACAAGCCAUUUGUACGUUGGCCUCAUAAUGAUUUCAUUUUACAGAUUUCCUUCCACUUUUUUUUUCUUUUUCCUUUUUCUUACAAAGGCCAUCACAAUUCUAUUCUGUUUUGGGAAGUAGGAACAGGAUCUAUCUUUAGGAAAUUUAAAUGCCAAAGAGCUCAGAUAAGCAUAAUUGAGAAGCAAAGCCUAGUUGGUGUGAUCGAGACAAAUAUUAAAUCACAAAUAUUUGAAAUUCUUCCCCUUUGUGCCCUGAGGAGAGAAGUGCCUUUGUUUGCUGAACUGGCUCCUAGAACUACAGAACUACGUGGCCUUUGUCCUGCUGUGGAGGACACUGGGCAGGGAGAGACACCAAAGGAAGGCAAAAUAUUAGUCAAGUGCCUACCAUGUAUCAGGCCUUCUGCUAGAAGCUAGGAGUGAACCCUCAG
Molecule: long non-coding RNA, 1154 nt
Filed under: Marmota monax (woodchuck)
Lineage: Eukaryota; Metazoa; Chordata; Mammalia; Rodentia; Sciuridae
Source: RNAcentral